GGGCGUAAAGCGUCCGUUAGGCGGCGUUAGUAAGUCAGAUGUGAAAUCUUGAGGCUCAACUUCAAGUUUGUAUCCGAUACUGCUAUGCUAGAGUCUUGGAGAGGUGAGUGGAAUUCUACAUGUAGGGGUAAAAUCCGUAGAUAUGUAGAGGAACACCAAAAGCGAAGGCAGCUCACUGGCCAAGUACUGACGCUGAUGGACGAAAGCGUGGGGAGCAAACGGGAUUAGAUACCCCGGUAGUCCACGCCGUAAACGAUGAUCACUCGAUGUCGGGGGUUCGACCCUCUCGGUGUCUAAGCUAACGCGAUAAGUGAUCCGCCUGUGGAGUACGGCCGCAAGGCUAAAACAUAAAGGAAUAGACGGGGACCCACACAAGCGGUGGAGCGUGUGGUUUAAUUCGAUAAUAAGCGGGGAACCUUACCCAGGCUUGACAUCUUCUGGAUACACCCGAAAGGGGGUAGUGCCGUAAGGAACAGAAUGACAGGUGCUGCAUGGUUGCCGUCAGCUCGUGCCUUGAGGUGUUCGGUUAAGUCCGUAAACGAGCGCAACCCUUGUCCUUAGUUGUAUUUCUCUAGGGAGACUGCCUGGCAUAACCAGGAGGAAGGUAAGGAUGACGUCAAAUCAGCAUGGCCCUUAUGCCUGGGGCGACACACGCGCUACAAUGGCCAGUACAACGGGCAGCCAAGGAGCAAUCCGGAGCGAAUCCCACAAAACUGGUCUAAGUUCGGAUUGAGGGCUGCAACUCGCCCUCAUGAAGUUGGAAUCGCUAGUAAUCGCGUAUCAGCCACGGCGCGAUGAAUAUGUUCCUGGGUCUUGUACUCACCGCCCGUCAAGUCACGAAAGAUGAGGGUGCCCGAAGUUCCUGCUAAGCAGGACCCAAGGUAAAUCAUUAAUUGGGACUAAGUCGUA
This 909-nucleotide ribosomal RNA is filed under the name uncultured organism. Its description in RNAcentral is "bacterial SSU rRNA". It matches the Rfam family "Bacterial small subunit ribosomal RNA", at positions 556 to 1490 of the family's 1533-position model. The record is from RNAcentral.